This 2630-nucleotide long non-coding RNA is filed under the name Oreochromis niloticus (Nile tilapia). RNAcentral describes it as "lncRNA (ENSONIG00000033004.1)". Lineage: Eukaryota; Metazoa; Chordata; Actinopteri; Cichliformes; Cichlidae. The record is from RNAcentral.
GAGAAUAUCAGAUAAAUGACAGGCAGGCUGAGAAGGGGAAGUGUCCGUGGUUCCUCGAUAUACGGAUGAAAACAGGGAACGUGAACUAGCCACAGUCCUAUGCCUAGCUGCUAGGCAACGCUGCCCCGGCUCUGAAAACUUUCCUCCUCGCUUGAUUCAGGUUUAAAUAACAAAGCCGCUUCUGACGUAGGACGAUGGGCUGCCGUGCCCGCCUUCGCCCGGUCCAUAGCAGAGAGUGGGAGGGGACGAUGCUGGGUGUCGUGGCUGCUGCGUGUGGAGACUUCCAGUGGUGAUAUGUCACAUAAGAGGCAGUGUUUGUGCAAACGGAGUGAAUAUAGUGUGCAUGCCAUUAUCAGCUAAAUGUGUUUGACUUGUCAUUCAUUCACUUCUGCUCCCUCUACCUCAAUGAAAAUAACAAAAGGCGGGGCUCAACAGCUGGGUGUAAAGCAAUCAAAGGAAUAUGGAAGAUCAGGACCUGAGCCACUAAUUGAUUGUUUAAUCUCCCACCAGGGUGAAAUCACUGGCACAAAGCCUCGAUUCACUGUCGAGCUCUUGAGCUCGGCUGAUGACGAGUGAUUACAGCUGCUGAAACCCAAAACUUGCUCUGUGUGUGUUCACUUUCAAUCACUCUGCCACACACGUACGUACCAGAGAUAAGGCAUACAGCACACAAAAAGAGCCCACACACUCAAGUGCUAUGCUUUCUCUCUAAAAGCAUCCAUACACAAUAAGAAAGCUUCUGUCACCUUAUGGCCUUUCUGAUGCACAACUUACAGGCUUGAGCCUAGUAGAGGAUGAACUUUGAUGUUAAGAAACAUGUGGAAAAGCUUGAUCUCAAAUAAAUGAAUAGAUCAGAGUAGAUGAGUGGCUUGUUGUGGUCAUUUUGUCAUCAUGUGAUAUAUUGGCAUCGAUUCCACACGGAACCAGAAAACAUAUUUUGAGGAAAUGUUUCCGCACAGUGUCUUCAAGAACGUAAAUCAAAAAGGAAUGACAUAAUCUUCAUACUCUCAGAUGGAUUUCUGUUGGACAGUAUGACAUGCCAAGCAUUCACUUCCUCUCAUGUAAUUGCUGAAUCAGUUUUACAGUCUGUUUUUUUAAGGAACAAACUGUAUGUUGAGGUAUGAAAAUUAUGGUUUGUUUUUCAUUGCUGAAGCAUGACAGCAUGGGGAAAUUGCUGUCAUUAUUUCCUAGCAAUAAAAGAGUCCUGUUAUGUCAUCGGCAAGUUUCAAUCUGUAUUGUUAUCCUGUAAACAGUCAGAUAAGCUGUUUCAUGUGUGUUUUAAUUGGAAAUGUAAUCGAGAGCAUCUUCUGUGUGCUAAAUCCAGCACAUUGUGAAGCAGGUGAAGACCAACACCUGUUGACCAAAAAACAAGAAAACAGUUUUAUAGGUGGCACAAAUCUUGUUAGUUUCUAAAACAAAGCAUGUCAGUCCUGGGCACAGGUUAGAUAUUUCUACUAAGUAUGACUGGCUCAACUAAUGAACCAUUACUCCUUCUCAAAGAAUUCAAAAUAUGUUGCAACCGGUAAGGCUGUAUAUUAGCAUGACAACAUAAACAGUCAAACUCAUGUGUCAUUUCAUAACAAUGAUAGUCUAAUAUAGUUUAUAUUUCUUAUUUAAUACUUCUUUUUUUUUCAAAAUGUGCCACUGUUUGUUUUUCAUUGUUAGCACAGCAUGUGAGGCUGGCAUGACUGUAAUAUUAUUAUGCUUGCACAAGAAAACAAUAAAAUAACAAUUAAAGUUUUGACUCUUGAAUGUUGCAUAAGGGGUUUCUGGGAGACAGAGUGAGUGUGCACUAAUUCCUGCUAUGAAUGCAGAAAAUAACUUGGUGAAGGGACCUGAGGCUGUGAAAGCAGGUUUGUUUUUCCAUCCAUUGAACACUGCUGUCACCAAGUGGACCUUAGUGAACAGUGCAUCAAUGUUGUUAAAAAGCUGAAGUUGAAAGUUUACAUACACUCAUUUUUCCUUCCCAGGGAGUGAUUUGCAGCAUACACCUUUAAUGACUUAAAAAAAUCCAACUUGUCAAGCAAGUGGUACCUCACCCAGAUGCUUUUGGUAGCUAUUAAGAAGCUUCUGCCAUAAUUGGGUAUUUGACUAACUUUUUUGGCAGAAUUGGCAAAGUUCUUUAAAUGAGUUGGUUUCCUAGUACAGAACUGGGUUGAGGCUGGUGCUGGGGAUCAUUGUCCUGUUUGAACUGUGUCCAAGUUUCAACCAUCUAGCUCUUCAAUUUGGAUGUAGUUCUACUUCUUCUCACUUUGUAAUAUACCAGGACCACUGGCAGCCUAAGAUCAUGAAGCUACUAUCACCAUGCUUAAAAGCUGCUACAGUGUUCUUAGAUUUAAAAGUCUCACCUUUACACCUUCAAACUCUUGUCACUGUGGCCCAAUAGUUUAAUCUUUGUCUCAUCUGACUCUAAAACUAAAGAAGUUACAAUGAGUAGUGAGAGCAGCGGAGAGGAUCGUGGGUACUUCUCUUCCCUCCCUCCAGGACAUCUACUGCACCUGCCUCUGCAUUACAGGUGACUCCACUCAUCCAUCCAACAGCUUCUUCAGUUUGCUGCCAUCAGGAAGGAGACUGAAGAGCCUCCAGGCUAGAACCAGCAGACUGAGAGACAGCUUCGUCCAUCAGGCUGU